AACGUGCUGGAACGUGCUGGAACAUGCUGGAACAUGCUGGAAUGUGCUGGAACAUGCUGGAACAUGCUGCCAUGACCGGCAGCAUUCUUUAUUGCAUCUUUUAUUGGCUGGCUAAAGGAGUGCAAGACAUCACUGGACGCCAAGGCACAAACCCCAGACUCCUGCAAGUCGAGCGAGAUCCCGUCAUUGGACUUGUUUGAAGUAUGACCGGGCUCAGGAGCGACCAUGGGAGCAGAGCAGCAGGGCCGGCUCCUGUCCUUAGGCGCUGAGGCCCUGCCAGUGUCAGAAUACCUUUCAGUUAGCACUUGAUUUACAGCCAAAAGAAACAGGUUAGUUGACCUGAAACAAUAACCCAAAAGAAACCAUUAACGGUGGAACAAAACACAGUUUGUGAUCCUUGGGGCUGGUGCUUAUGGAGCCUGUGGCCCAGAAGCUUAUGUAGGUUGAUCCAGAAGCUUGUGCAUGGGAAGUUAAGUAGUACUGGGCCAAUUUUACAGUCAGACACCAAUCACACCUCUGGUCUGUGCAGGCUCUAGAUGUUGAUGACCUGGUGUGGAAUGGGCUCUACCUUAGCAUCCCAGAGCCAAGAUCUGGUAACACUUUGUGACCUAACCCUAGUGGACUCUGGUUUCUGUCACACAGGCCAAGUCUGGUGCAUGUUUCCAAAGCACUAAAGCUAUCAGUAAAAUAUCUCCCAGCCUCUGGUUCACUCAGGGGACCAGCAAAUGUUCUCCAGUAUUUAUAUAGCUCUUUUGGACUAUAUCCACUGAUUUAUACAGUGGAUUACCACAGUAAUAUAAAGGCUUCUGAAUGUAAAUAUUCAUGGGGUACGCUCGUAUUGCCUGAGGUAUACGUGUGUUGUUUUUUGACAUAAAUAAUCUGCCAUUCAUGGCUGCAUGUUAGAAGGUUCCGGCAAGGCUGGUCUGCUAAUGGCCGUGCAGAAUAUCUCCAACAACUAGUAACACUGGCAGAAUAAAAUGCCACUGAAUGAUUUGUCCUGGCUUGGGGCACAACACCUUAUGCCAGUGCUAAAUGUGACAGUCCGCAGCCACGGGGGACGACAGACAGCAUCCAAUCAGCUCACUGCAGGCCAGAUUCACCACUGCUUCACAUCACCGUCAUUCACAAUAUAUUUCAUUUCCUGACCACUGAAGUCAUUUUGCCAGGCUUAUUUUUUAAAAUAAAUUUGAGUCCAAAUGA
Long non-coding RNA from Paramormyrops kingsleyae, 1200 nucleotides. RefSeq lists it as uncharacterized. The record is from RefSeq and is a predicted model, not a curated record. Lineage: Eukaryota; Metazoa; Chordata; Actinopteri; Osteoglossiformes; Mormyridae.